AGCUCACAUCCAGAGAAAGAACAAAGCCAUGUCAAAACCGCCUGUGAUUCCUUGAGUGUUUUUCCAGCUACCCACCACCUGCCCACCGUCUCCUCUCGGACCUCAGCUUGGGCUAGAAUCUGACAAUUGGUGCUGUAAGCAGGAUCAUGAGAUUUAGAUGUGGCGGUGCCUCUCUUGCAGCAACAUUUGGCAGCAUGCAGUUGGGCCAUCAAUGAAUCCAAGGUCCAAGGGUCUGGAUUAUCUGCCAAAUUAUUGGAAGUUUCCUGUCUAGGUAAGAUGAUGGCCAUACCAGAGGCUAUUAUUGACAAAAUUCAGGCAUAGCCCUGGCCCACCACGGUGAAGCAGCUACAAACUUUUGUGGGCUUCCUGGGAUACUGGGGGGCAUUUCUGCCCCAUUUAGCUCAAAUGACAAAACUGUUGCACGGUUAACAAAGAAGAGAGCUACCUGGAAUUGGGAUAUGGCUGAGACCGCUUUCCUGGCAGCCAAGUGGGCUAUUCAGCAGGCACAAGCCCUAUGGGUAGUUGGCCAGGGGCACCUGUUUGAGCUGGAUGUGCAUGUGAGCACAGAUGGUUUCAGUUGGGGCCUGUGGCAGCAUACAGAGUGCCUGAGAACACUAGUAGGCUUUUGGUCUUAACUGUGGAAAGGAGCUGAGCUCCAACAGUCCUUGAUAGAGAAACAGCUAGCAGCUGUAUAUGCAGCAUUUCAGUCUUGUGAAAGUGUGACAGGAUGGGCUACAGUCAUCAUGUGGAUGGCUUACCCAAUAGUGGGAUGGAUGUGUUCAUGGAUAAUGCCCCCCUGGACUGGGAUGGCACAGACAUCUACUUUGGCAAAGUGGGGCACCUACUUGGAGCAGCAAAGUUUGCUGAGUACAAGACCCUUGGCAGCAGAAUUGCAAGAGGUCUUGGGACCUAUAGUCCUAAUGCAAGAGAAGGCUAUAGGGCCUGGGGCACCCCUAGACCCCAAGCCAUCACCGUUUAAGGAAGGGUACCCCCCAUUCCUGAUGGGGCAUGGUACACAGAUGGGUCUAGCCAAGGAUCUAAUGCUGCCUGGACCGCUGUUGCAGUCCAACCUAGUACAGACACCAUAUGGUUUGAAACCAGGUGUGGGCAAAGUAGCCAAUGGGCUGAACUUACAGCAGUAUAGAUGGUGAUCACUAAGGAGCAGAUAUCUAUGGUGAUUUGUACCGAUAGCUGGGCAGCCUACCGAGGCUUAACCUUGUGGUUAACUACUUGGAAAAUACAAAAUUGGCUAGUCAGCCACUGACCUAUGUCAUGGAGCCAAGUGAUGUGGCAAGACCUCUGGGAAAUGGAUCAUCAGAAAGAUGUAAUUAUUUAUCAUGUGUCAGGCCAUAUGCCUUUGGCCACCUUUGGCAAUGAUGAGGCAGAUGUCUUGGCCAAGGUCCAAUGGUUAGUCGGCACCAACACAAGAUGUGGCCUUCUGGCUACACCAGAAACUGGGACAUGCCAGGGGCAAACUGAUGUAACAGGGCAAUAAGUGUUGGGGUCUGUCCCUGCCCAUGCAAGGUAUUUGGGAGGCUCGUCAGAAAUGCCCAGUAUGUGCUUGGUCAUACCCUAAAUGGAGGCAGCUGCCCACUUUUACACAAGUGACAACAGGGCGAGUGAUCUUGACCAGGUGGUAAGUAGACUACAUCGGUCCGCUGCCAAAAUUGCAAGGGUAUACACAUGUGCUAACAGCUGUGGACAUGGCCACAAGCCUGUUGUACAUCUACCCUUGCAGGGUGGCCAACCAACAGCACAUCCUCCGGGUCCUGCAACACUUAUGUGCCCUGUAUGGUUGCCCUCUGGCCAUAGAGAGUGAUAGAGCACCCAUUUCACUGGACAACAGGUACAACAAUGUGCACAACAAAUGGACAUAAAGUGGGGAUUCCAUGUGCCAUACAACCCACAAGCUGUGGGUAUGAUUGAGCAAUAUAAAGGGCUCUUGAAGAAUGGGUUACACUUGCAUGUCACACCCGUCUUUGCAGUGCUGGAGUUCCAAGCUGGACCUGGUGGUUCAAACCUUGAAUGAACAGCCAUGGAAAGACCGCCCAGCCCUGGUGGAGGCUUUAUUACACUGGGCCACCACCCCUAUUCAGUUGCAGAUACACACUAAGGAUGACCUCCUCCGACCAGGUAUGGGGACGAACGGUAACCUUUUGUUGCUUGCCCCAAUGCCCCUGAAGGGAGGGGAACAGAAAACCUGGCUCUGGCCAUGGACCCUCCAGGCUCCCCACUGCUGGUGGUUGGCCGUUGUAGCUCCCUGUGGGGAAGACCUACAGUAUGACUUGCAUGUCACUCCUUGGGCAUUCAAUACAUGUCACCCUUGGUUGAUUGUUCUUAGGGCAACAGCCAGGGAAGAAACGCUCCUCUGGGGGACAUAAGUACUGUCUGUGUGGCCUAUUAUGAGCUUCCCCUUGACUUUGGCAUAGAUACCGGACCCAUAGGAACCAUGGGGAGCUGAGAAGGUGUGGUACCAUCGCCCAGGGCAGAAGCUCUUGGCAGCUGCAUUGUUAUCCAUGGAUGAAAAGUUAGCCUGUAUUUUGCCUGAGGGACGUCACUUACCUCUGUUAGUAGCUGUGCCUGCUCUGUCAUUUUGGCCAUAGGUUAACAUGCUCCAACUGCAUUGUAAACUGCGCCCACACCUGUGCUGAGGUGAUCAAUGUUUCCAACUUUCGGGUCUGCACUGCCCUUCCAGCAGCAGCUGCAGAUGACUUGCCUUGGCAUAUACAUUCAGUGUCUACAGAGAACUGGACAUGGCUGGAGACUUGGGGUCCCGUGGUUGACAUCUGGAAUGCAACGCAGCAAGCUUUGGACAAAGGACGCUGCAAGAUCCAUGGUGCUCCCAUCAUGUGGCUGGCCCAUAGCAUUUAUGAUGGCUGGGGCUGGCUAGCGGGGGAACAUGUAGUACCCCCAGCCCAGGUGUCGCAGAGCAUAGAGCAACACUGGGGUAACACCACUGUGGGAUAGGUACCCAUCACAGCCUGUGUAAACAUAACACAUGUCACCAUACUGAAGGUAUGCUGGAACAAGCAGCCCCCAAGUUUGGGCCCCAAGGGACUUUGUGCCCCCUGGGAGUUUAUGGGUCUGUGGGCACACAGGGUGGCCUUACCUACCAGUGAACUGGACGGAAUGUUGGAACUGGGGGUGGCCACUGUUCUCUCCACAUUGCCCAGACACUGCAUAACUGGAAGGCGCUACACUCUCAUUUUUUGUGAGUGCGACGAGCUCCCCAGUGGUUCUACCCCUUGACAGUGACUAUCCCUGCGGCGGGUGUCACAACUGUAGAAGCACAAGUUACUGCUCUUGCAGAGCACACCACUCGGGCUCUGAAUUACACCCAAGUGGCCCUCCUCCUGUUAAUGGAUGAGGCUGGUCAGAUGAGAAAGGUGGUAUUGCAAAACUGAAUGGCCUUAGACAUAGUAACCUGCUGCACAAGGAGGCACCUGUGCCCUUUUAGGAACACAAUGUUGUACCUUUAUCCCUGACAAUUGGCAGAACAUAACAGCAGCCCUGCAAGAGGUCUCAUGGGAGAUUAAGGUGGUGGAGAGCCUUACUGACAACCCCCUGCAGAGAUGGUGGGCAUCUCUGGGCUGUGGCCUACGCUGGGCCCUUACAGUCCUAAGUAGCAUAGCUGGGAUCCUGGUAAUGAGCUGUUGCUCUCUGUAGUGUUGUGGGUUAUGGAUUCAGGGCUCCACCCUAUGGGCACGUAUCCCUACCUGAAAGACUCCUCUCAGCCUAGGGGAUGGAGUGUAAGGGAAAUGGCUGCAUUUUAGUCAGGAGUAGGCUGAGGCAGCCUUCUGGCACAGCAUGACUCAGUGGGUUUGGAACGCAGGCACACAACUCUACACAUUAUGUAACCAUGCCACGUGAGGCACAUUAGGUGACCAUUCACAUGAGCCUGUGCUUGGCUGGGAUCCAUUAUUGUCUCUAAAAGGUUUAACUACCCUGCUGAUGCUGUACAUAUGGCUCGCGCCUAGAGAGAGAAUAACGCCAUGUCAAAACUGCCUACGAUUCCUCAAGUUUUUCCAGCUACCUGCCACCAGCCCACCAACUCCCUUUGGACCUCAGUUUGGGCUAGAAUCUGACAAACAGUAACAAAUAAUUCUUUUUUCUUGAGUUCAAACCAUGAAUAAUUAUUUACUCUGCAUUGUAAUUAUAGGGUUGUCAUUCAGAAGACAAAGUCUAGGCAAAUGGCAGGUAUCUUCUAAGGACUAACAUUUUUAAGUAAUAAUGCUCAUUUAUAGACAUUGCUGGUAGGCUCAGGAGCUGUUAUUUUGUUGAUCUUCAUUUUGUUAUUUUCUUAUCAUCAAAUGUUUUAUUUAUAACACUAUUAUAUUUUUUUCUUUCUUUCUUUAAAAGAUGUAUUUCCUCAGGAAGGAAGGUUUAGGACUAACUGAAAACUCCCAUUUCGUAGGUAGAUGAUGAACUGAGAUAAUGGUUAAGUGACUAGUUAUAAAGUCUAACCCAGUAGAAGUUUCCAAAGUCUCUCUGUGAAUUGUUUUGUUAGCUAUUUAUGAAAAUUAUGGUAGACAAAACAUUGAAAAUAAAACUGCAGGGCCACAGAACACCUUCUGGUUAUAAAUACUUGAACUUUAUCUGGGGUUAUUUUGUGUGUAUGUUUUCAUGCCAAGGGAAAAACUCCACAAUCCUAAUAGAUGGAGUUGUUUUCCUACUAACCAUAUAUCCAGUAAUGGACUUUACCCUCUUUCUUCUUUUUGAUACAGAGCAAUUACACAUACAUAUGUGUGUUGCUUCUGAAAAGAUCAUGCACCUUGCUUCCUGCAGAUUGGGUAUCCAUGGAUACCGCAAAGAGUUUCCAAAGAAACACUGCCUAGAAUUUUCACCAUGCCAGCCUCGAAGGCCUUCAAAUGGAAAGUGACAUUUGAAUUAAAGGGACAAGCAUCAUUGCUCCACACCAAAACACUGGGCAGGUUUGCAGAAAUCGUAUUCUUUUUUGCACUAUUCAAUGUAAAGGCAGACAGGGUGGAUUAUUUAUCCUAUAAAAGGGAAAAGAGAGGAAGAAAUCGGGUUGAUAUAUUCCCUACCUGAGGCUCAAUGACCCCAGUUCCUAUUUAUAUUUCUCACCUGAUGAUACAUGCUUUUACAAUAAAGGUCUCAAGAUUUAUAAGUCAGACAGGGAAAAAUAUACAAAGGAAUACAAGUUGCAUUUUUAUAUGCCCCGGUUUAUAUCUCUAAAUGACAAAAAGUAUUGGGAAGAGGGGCAGAGCCUAUUAGUAGGUUUACAAGCCUAUGAUUAGAAGUCUGAAGCAGUCUGCAGUGAAAUUCAAAAUCUGGCUCAAGAGAGUAAAUCUGAAUAAGGCAGCAAUUUCAUCUGGGGAGAGAAUACAUCACUAGUACAUUUUCUUUUCUGGAUUCUUAUCACUAAAUCAGCUGAAGAAUCUGUUCUUAAAAGCAAUCAUAAUGAAAUUUUCUAUUAUUCAAUGAACCUAGCCUUCGGGGAUAUCGGUAAUUAAGUCAGAAUAAGAUGAUUUUAAAUCUCCAAUAAAUAUUCUAAUAUUUUAGGUGUUUAAUAUUUAUUUAUUUAGUUCAUAAACA
Long non-coding RNA from Homo sapiens (human), 5556 nucleotides. RefSeq lists it as uncharacterized. The transcript has 2 exons. The record is from RefSeq and is a predicted model, not a curated record. NCBI's taxonomy places the organism in Eukaryota, Metazoa, Chordata, Mammalia, Primates, Hominidae.